AGGGGUGUCCCAGACAACAAGAACUGCUAACUCUUGCAUCCGAGCUUUAAACCUCGGCCCCCUU
RNAcentral lists this transfer RNA (64 nucleotides) under Tropicoperdix chloropus (scaly-breasted partridge). RNAcentral describes it as "tRNA-Ser". The record is from RNAcentral. Lineage: Eukaryota; Metazoa; Chordata; Aves; Galliformes; Phasianidae.